This 72-nucleotide ribosomal RNA is filed under the name Bacillus haynesii. The record is from RNAcentral. Lineage: Bacteria; Bacillati; Bacillota; Bacilli; Caryophanales; Bacillaceae.
UUUGGUGGCGAUAGCGAAGAGGUCACACCCGUUCCCAUGCCGAACACGGAAGUUAAGCUCUUCAGCGCCGCU